GUCUAUGGCCUUGCCACCCUGAACAAGCCUGAUCCCGUCUGAUCUCAGAAGCUAAGCAGAGUCGGCCCUGGUUAGUACUUGGAUGGAAGACCACCUAGGAAGACCAAGUGCUGUAGUCG
Molecule: ribosomal RNA, 119 nt
Filed under: Pteropus alecto (black flying fox)
Lineage: Eukaryota; Metazoa; Chordata; Mammalia; Chiroptera; Pteropodidae
Also listed under: 1 other name
Source: RNAcentral